This 426-nucleotide ribosomal RNA is filed under the name uncultured bacterium. RNAcentral describes it as "partial 16S ribosomal RNA". It matches the Rfam family "Bacterial small subunit ribosomal RNA", at positions 338 to 795 of the family's 1533-position model. The record is from RNAcentral.
CCUACGGGAGGCUGCAGUCGAGGAUCUUCGUCAAUGGGCGCAAGCCUGAACGAGCGACGCCGCGUGCGCGAUGAAGGCCUUCGGGUUGUAAAGCGCGAAAGUGGGGAGAUCAUCCACAGUAAGGACGGGCUAAGUUCGUGCCAGCAGCCGCGGUAAGACGAACUGUCCUAACGUUGUUCGGAAUCACUGGGCUUAAAGGGCGCGUAGGCGGUCGAUCAAGUCAGGGGUGAAAUCCUGCAGCUUAACUGUAGAAGUGCCUCUGAUACUGAUCGUCUGGAGGGAGAUAGGGGUGUGCGGAACUUCCAGUGGAGCGGUGAAAUGCGUUGAUAUUGGAAGGAACGCCGGAGGCGAAAGCGGCGCACUGGUCCUACUGACGCUGAGGCGCGAAAGCCAGGGGAGCAAACGGGAUUAGAUACCCUUGUAGUC